This 87-nucleotide transfer RNA is filed under the name Candidatus Wallbacteria bacterium GWC2_49_35. RNAcentral describes it as "tRNA-Ser". It matches the Rfam family "tRNA". From Rfam's summary of the family: Transfer RNA (tRNA) molecules are approximately 80 nucleotides in length. Their secondary structure includes four short double-helical elements and three loops (D, anti-codon, and T loops). The record is from RNAcentral. RNAcentral also lists the same sequence under 1 other name. Lineage: Bacteria; Candidatus Walliibacteriota.
GGAGAGAUGUUCGAGUGGCUUAAGAAGCACGUCUGGAAAGCGUGUGUGCUGUAAUAGGCACCGUGGGUUCAAAUCCCACUCUCUCCG